RNAcentral lists this ribosomal RNA (700 nucleotides) under uncultured bacterium. RNAcentral describes it as "bacterial SSU rRNA". It matches the Rfam family "Bacterial small subunit ribosomal RNA", at positions 94 to 828 of the family's 1533-position model. The record is from RNAcentral.
AGUGGCGGACGGGUGAGUAACGCGUAAGAAUCUAACUUCAGGACGGGGACAACAGUUGGAAACGACUGCUAAUACCCGAUGUGCCGCGAGGUGAAACCUAAUUGGCCUGAAGAAGAGCUUGCGUCUGAUUAGCUAGUUGGUGGGGUAAAGGCCUACCAAGGCGACGAUCAGUAGCUGGUCUGAGAGGAUGAGCAGCCACACUGGGACUGAGACACGGCCCAGACUCCUGCGGGAGGCAGCAGUGGGGAAUUUUCCGCAAUGGGCGAAAGCCUGACGGAGCAACGCCGCGUGAGGGAGGAAGGUCUUUGGAUUGUAAACCUCUUUUCUCAAGGAAGAAGUUCUGACGGUACUUGAGGAAUCAGCCUCGGCUAACUCCGUGCCAGCAGCCGCGGUAAUACGGGGGAGGCAAGCGUUAUCCGGAAUUAUUGGGCGUAAAGCGUCCGCAGGUGGUCAGUCAAGUCUGCUGUCAAAUCAGGUUGCUUAACGACCUAAAGGCGGUGGAAACUGGCAGACUAGAGAGCAGUAGGGGUAGCAGGAAUUCCCAGUGUAGCGGUGAAAUGCGUAGAGAUUGGGAAGAACAUCGGUGGCGAAAGCGUGCUACUGGGCUGUAUCUGUCACUCAGGGACGAAAGCUAGGGGAGCGAAAGGGAUUAGAUACCCCUGUAGUCCUAGCCGUAAACGAUGGAUACUAGGCGUGGCUU